Non-coding RNA from Rattus norvegicus (Norway rat), 10117 nucleotides. NCBI's taxonomy places the organism in Eukaryota, Metazoa, Chordata, Mammalia, Rodentia, Muridae. The record is from RefSeq and is a predicted model, not a curated record.
GCGCGCCUGCGCGAAGUGGAGUGGCCAAAGGGUAGUGGUAGUGGGUGGCUCAGAGGGCAGCCUUCCUCCUCUUCUGGUUAGCACCUGUACAGACCCAACGUCCAGCUGCCAGCGUCUUCUCAUUCCCCACGAGAGUGCUCAGGAAUUGAAACACCCAAAGGAAGAGGAACCACAGGACCAAGAAACGUGUUUCCUAAGGAAUACCAAACCUCCCUGCUGCCUAAGUCAAAGAAGCCCUCACAGAAUCACAGGUUACCUUGAAGACCAGAAGAGGGCAUCAAAUCUCUCUCGGAGCUGAUAGGCAGUUUUGUGUAGCCUGCUGAAGGGCUAGGAACAGAACUCUGGUCCUGUGCAAGAACAGCAAGGAAAAGUCUGAUGCUUGUUGGAUAAAAUGAAAUACAACUAUUUCAUUUACUAAAGUCCUUAAUUUUAGUGUAAGUGAAUGAAUAUUUUAUCUUCUUCCAAAUAACACGAGUGAGAAAAAAGCAGGUGUCGGUUUUUCAAAUAUUUGAAAACAACAGGUAAAUAGAGGCACAUCCCAUGUCUAUAUUCACCUAAUUGAUUCAUAAAAUAUGUCAUCAUUUUACACUCGGUUAGAAGAAAUAGUUCAUGCUUCUUACUGGUGACCUAUUUUUAUGCACAAAAUUCCUUCUAAUCCUGGUAAGCAGGUUUUCUAAACAAUGAUCAAAGAGUGGCACAUAGUGGAUAAUCAUUUAAUCCGCAGAUGCCUGUCUAUAAAAAGCAAUAAUAAUCUAGCCUUAUAUGUAGUAUCCCUAAUCAAGCUAUUGCCUAUUUCCCCAAGACUGUUAAAUUUAUCAAAGAAUAUAACUUAAAUGAAGCAAACAGUAAAGACAUAUUCACAUUCAUAUCAAGCAGGCUUAAUAAAAAAAACUACUUUUUAAAAAGUCUACCAUCACAGUGUUAGAAAUACUGUUUAUAUGUCAUUAUAUAAGAGAAAAUUAUAUUUGACAUGAUUCUGUUGCUAAAAUGUGAUAUUCUGAACUCUCUGUGUAGAAUUGAAAAUAUAUUAAAGUGAAACUUGCCUGGAGAAAGAUAUCUUGUUUGUUGUCUAUUAUAUAUAACUAAUAUAUUUAAAAAUACCAAAGUGCUAAAAAGAAGGAAUUCAGGAAAUCCUUUAAGGACACAAGAGGAAACUUAUUUUGUUGUGCACAAUAACAAGUUGGGCUUUAAGAACAAAUGGGCAGAAUUGCCUAUGAAGACAUGUAACGUGCUUAUCUGUGUAAGUUGCAGAAAAUACCCAUAAACCAGUUCUGGCUAGUGAGUGUAUGGUGCUGCUUGACUGAAUUUUCAAGUGUCUCAAUGUAGACUGAAAAUAUUUCCCAGCUCUCCUGAAAACAAGAAGAGAAAAAAGAAAAUGGAGGGAAAGCUCAACAAGGCUUAGUCCAAACUACAAUUCAUUACAUGAGGCAUACUGACAUGGUCCUGAAGCUACAUAACAAUAAUACUCAUGAAAAUGUAUGAGAAUGAGGUGUUGUACCAUACUCUAAGUGCUUCACAGAUGCCUGUUCACUUGUCCACUCUGACCAUCUGUCUCAUAGCAAUUCAGCCAUCUGAUACAGUAUUUUCCACUUUUAUUUACAAACAUGCUGGUACUUAAAAGCGGUCCCCAUGUUCAUAAGCUGUCUGUUUCUAACAAAUCUCUCUUAAAUUCUGUACAGGGAGGUGAGAGAGUAUUUUCACAGACUGUUUUGUAAAAUAAACAGCCUGUGUGAUCCUUCAUUGAGCACGUCUGUUUCUCCUGUGGUUGUGGACAUGCUUCCGCAAUUAGUCCACAUUCUUUUCCUUCAACACUGUUUUGCAAGCAAAGCCAUCUUGUCCGAAUGGAUGGAAUUGAUUGCUAUCUGUUAAAGAAUCUGCUGAGUGAAGAGGAUCACCUUUGAAUCACCAGGAUUACAGGUUCGCUUCUCAUGCCUGACUUUCCAGUGGACACUUUGAUGACCAUGAAGUGUUGUCCUCCCUUCUCCCUGGGAACUGUUGGCCACUGGCCCAUGAAGACAAAGGGAGCAGAGUCAACAGGGUUUGGAAGGGCAGUGAGUACUACAGAAAUGACAGACUUCCAAGGAUUAGCUUCAGAGAAGCAGCUCAACUUUACUCAGGGUGAAUCAAUGACUGUAUGUGUUUUAGGAAGGGGGUAGGAAUUUCCAGGGUCGGUAAGAAUCAUUGGCCAGAGCUUAGAGUACCUAAGAAUGCCCCAUUUGCAUGGAGAGGAAGUCUAGGAGUUCUAGGUGCUUGCUGGACAGGUAGUUAGUAGGAAGGAAGCUGAACCUGUAAUCUCAGCAAAGCUACAGGACACUCUGCAGGUAGAGGAUAUAGAGGUUGGGCUCCCCAAAUCAGACAGAGAAGAGGAAGCCCUGCUAAGAAAAGGGAGUCCCCUACCUAGUGCCAAGCUCAAAAGAACUGUCUGGAUGUGGAAUACUGCUACCUUUAAAUAGCAAGUUCCAACAAUGAAGCUUCAACGUCUCCGAUGUCUAUAUGUGUUUCAGUAGCCUGGUCUACAGGAGUUUGGACAGUAUACUAGCAGAUAGGAUACAGGACUUCUUUGGUGAAGCUCACUGAGUGCUCAGGAGCCACUGCAACUGACAGCAAGUGUGAGAUACUCAUCACUCGCCACAGGCCUUAUCUGUGAGGGUGAGACCACCUUGAUGGGCUGAACGUGUGCAGUAGUAGAGUGGGGCAUCCUUUACUGUCUAAGGGCUGCACAGAUGUAUUAGACUUCCCUGCUGUGACAAGCAUCCAAGAAACAAUUAGAAAGAAGGAAAGUUGAAAUAUGGGUCACAAUUUCAGAUGUUUUAUUGCUAGGUUUUGUGUCUCUGUGUUUCUGUGCUCAAAGCCAGACACAGGAGGCACACUGGUAAUGUUUAGGUCUAAUACCAUGGCAGAAGGGCUCAGUGAAAGAGGGCUAUUCAUUUUAUGAUUGCCAGAAAGUAAAAAGCUGUACACAGCAAAGGUAAAGUUAAGAUAGAUCCAUUAAAGCCAUUCCCUGGCAACCCAGUUCCUCCAGCUAGGCCCUACCACAGUUCCAUCAAUGCCCAGUCUUUUCAAAUUUUGAAGCUCUAAGUAACUGAACAAUGGAUUAGGGCAGAGCCCUCAGGAUCUUAUUUCUGAAAAUGCCCAGAGGUAAACUUUACAGAUCUUCUAGUAAUCUCUCAAUACAAAGAAGUUGACAAUGAAGAUUAACUAUUACAAUAGUUGAUUUCAUAGGACUGACUUACUCAGGGAGUUCUUUCCCCUUCCAAGGACUGAGUAAAUGAAAAAAAAAUAAUGCAAACAAAUGAUAGCACAUUUUAUAACAAAGGUAUUAAAGUAUUUCAAGUGAAUCUUCUUUACAGACAGGACCUUGGUGAGAUACAAAGAUUGUUAAUAAACAAUUCUAGUGCUCCAAAGUGAUGCAAGAUACCAUAUUAAUUCUUAUAGAUGUAUACCAUAUGAGAAAAGUUUAUAGGUGGAGGUAGUAAGGGAUACUGAGCAAGUAGAAAAACUCUAUUUCACAUGAGCUUUCAUUUCUUUGUGAAGGAGAAUGUUCCCUUCUACUGAAAUAAAAUCUCUUUAGUGGCACCCCUCUGCAUCAUGACAAUCUGGAUUUUGUUGCCUGGCUUUCAAGCAUGUGUGUGUGUUUGCUUCUUUGCAGUUAAUUUUCUCCUCUCCUAGAGUACUUCAUCAGUGAUAUUCCUUCCAUCAGAGAUGGUCUCUGUCUGCACACUCAUCUGAAUGAUUCCUAACUGAUUAGUAGACUUUAUCAUUAGUGGUCCUUCUGUAACAAAGACUACUUUGAUGUAAUUACUCUAUCUGUCUAUAUUAGAUACUCACUUAAGACUGUGUGAUUUUCCUUGAUAAAAAUCAUUAAUGGAAUGAUUUAUUCAUUUAAAGUUUUCAUAUGUAUAUGACAUAUGUAUAUUAACACAUAUAUUUUCUAUUUGCUUUCCUGAGAGGACCUAAAAACCCCUGGCAUCAAGGUCUUGACUUUAAAUAGCAUUUGUCAAUGAGAAAACAAGGGUUCUUUGCAGAAAUGACUGACUCUAGGGCUGUCACAGGUAAGCAGAGAUGAGCUUGUACCAUCUUGUAAUAAGAGGAAGAAGAGGUCUCUAAAAAUAAAGAAGUGGUGAUUUCCACUUAACAAUGCUUUGUUGGAGAGUAUGAUUCAAAGGUAAAGGCCAGCCUGAGUGUGUAGAGCUAAACCUGAGCUGUUGAUAUAUCUCAAGCAAGCAAGCCAGCACUAUAAAAAGAAUAUACAUGAACAAGAUGCAAUAGCCUAUAUACAAAAGGCCCCAAUGGCAAAAGUUGAAACAAUUCAAAGAGCAAAUACGUAAUGACAGUCUAGGAUUAUAACCUAAAUAAUAGACAUUGUGAUGUCAUUGAAAUCGCAAUGAUUUCUCGUAGAAUCCAGUGUAAUUACUCAUUCCUUCAGGGGAUACCACUUAAUUACCAUCCUGUGUGGUCUGGAUUUAGUAUUCAGUUCUAAUUGAUACAAAAUAAAAGAGUAACUUUGUGCAGAGAAAUCUACCAGAUAGCACACUGACUGAAUGCUCACCAGUAUCAAUGCCUUCUAUGAACAGCAUUUGUUCCCCCAAAAUAUGAUGGAUCUUCUCUCUCCACUGUUAUAGAAACCAUCACACCAACGCAAUUAUGGAAGCACAUUAGAUACAGCCAAACUUAGGUGCUCUUCAUAAAAUACCCGGUCAAUAAUUUUCAAAAGUUUCAAGUUCAUAGCUAACAAACGAUGUCUAAGAGAUUGUCACAGAUUGGAGAACACUAAGGAGAGGUUCAAUAUGACAUUUCUGAACUGGAUGCUAGAACAUCAACACUUUUUGCAUGUGUAGGUUGGAUAGCUUAUUAGUGCCACUAAAUGUGUGGUUAUGAGAGAUGUCAACUUUGGGAGAAGCAAUCUGAGGGAACAGAUCUAUGGGAAUGGUUUAUACUUAUUUGAAACUCUUCUGAAAAGGUAAAAUCAGAGUAAAAUGAAAGGUCAGAGCUGUCUUCCCACUGAGCUACAACUCCACCAGCAGAGGUGAUCUGUGUGUUGGACACUACUACAUCUCCGUUCACAGGGCAGCAAUGCCUGCUUUACAUAGCAGGGGUCUGGAACAUGGCUGCAUGUUAGACCUUUGGCCCUGCCCUUUAUGAACAGUAUCCCUAAGAUAUGUUUUUAAGCCCCAGUUGUCUCACCUGUAAGAGAAAUAAAGUUGAGAAUUGGGGACUUAAUGUAUGUAAAGUAAGCGAAAGGCCAUUCUCACUGACAACUGUGAGUCGAUAAUUGUUCAGUGCAUGAGUGAGUAAUGGAAGGCGGGUUUGUUAUUGCCGCUGCUGCUGUUGUUGUAUUGCCGCUGCUGCUGUUGUUGUCCUCAUUGUUGCUGUUGUUCUGUUGUGAGGUUUUGCUGAGAUUGAACUUGGAAUUCAGUUUAAGUUAAGGAGAGUUCUUUUUUUUUUUCUUUUUUUUUUUUCCGGAGCUGGGGACCGAACCCAGGGCCUUGCGUUUGCUAGGCAAGUGCUCUACCACUUAGCUAAAUCCCCAACCCCUUAAGGAGAGUUCUUGAAGAAGACUCAGAAAGCGUCCUAUAUUUAUAAUGGAAGAAGACCCAAUAAGUACAUGUGUUGACGCAAUGGCAGACAUGUGGAAUCUGAUGCAAGGAAUGUGUUUCAAGCAGUAAUAGUACAGAUUAUAAAAGAGAAGCAAUUGUCUCUUCCUGGUGUAAUGGGCACAGCCCCCAUUCAUAUGUGGUCUGUGACGACUUCCUUGUGGCAAUGUCAUGGCAGUGUAGAACAGCAGAAGUAGAGACCUUAUGAUGUCUCUUCAUGGCUUUAAUGGGAGUAGCCUGGCCCCAUCAUUCAAACAUUGUCUGUAACUGCUUCCUUGUAAUGAUGGCAUUACACUGUAUAACAGCAGGGGCAGAGAAGUUUUGAUACACAAAGCCAAUCAUGUUUACCAUAUGGCCUUCUCUGGGACAUUCGCUAAGCCCUGCUCUGCAAGUACAAUGUGGAUCUAGAGCGAAAAGACCAUAGCUCCUUCCAGUGAUGAUUCCUCACUUUCUAAGCUUUUUCAAUGAGUAAGAGGAGGUUGUCCUAUGCUCUGUGCAUCUGUGUUCUCUUUUCUAAUUCAUGAGGCCACAGUUUAUCUCUCUCCUAGUCACAGGAUAGCAGAAAUCAGCAUCAUGUAGUACAAAAGGGACAUCCUCUGUUGCCCAUCACUAAUUUAAAAGGAUCAGCUGCAUUUCACUCUAAAAUAACCUUUGACAUUUAGAUGAGGUCAUGUAGUCCCACUUAUAACCAUCUGACUUUGAACAAAUUAUUUAAUGUCUUAGAAUCUUGGCUUUCCUUGCCUGCAGACAAGAGGGUUAUAUGUUCCCAGGGCUAUUAGGGCAGAAUGAGAUGAAAAAAGUUUUAUGUGCAAUUUACAUUCUAGAAAGGUGGUUAUUAUUCAUCUUCGUCAAUAUUCUGUUGCUGUGAAGAGACACCAUGACUAUGGCAACUCUUAUUAAGGAAAGCAUUGAAAUGGGUCUUGCUUUGAGUUGCUGACAGUUUUACUCAUUAUCGUUAUGGUGGGAAACAUGGCGGCAAAGACAUACAUGAGAGUUCAACAUCCUGAUCUGCAGGAAGCAGGGGAGAGAGAGACCUGAGCCUGCCUUGAGCAUUUGAAGCCCCAAAGCCCACUCCCAGUGACACACUUCCUUAAACAAGGAUAUACCUCCUAAUAACUGUCAAGUAGUGCCAUUCCUAAUGACCAAUCCUUUAAAUAUAUGAGCCUCUGGGACCAUUCCUAUUCAAACCACUACAUUAUUAUUGAUGUUGUUAGUCAAUACAAAAUUAUGAUUGAGAACUUUGGCAAGACAUUUCUUGUGAUCUUGAGUUAUUGUUUUCUAUGCUUCAUUAUCUUCUACUAUUAAAAGGAUGGCAAUAAUUAACAUAAUUUAGGUUUGUAGUAAAGAAAAAAUGGGAAAUUGGUUUAGAACAAAGCUUGCCCACAAGGCAUUUACUAAAUAUUAGUUACUAUUAUAAGUAGAUGUUCAUAUUGGUACAUAGAAUCAAAAACAAAAGUUGUGUUUUAAAUAUGGUAUGAGAAACGUUUUUAGAAUGUUCAUCUAAAUUUUUGUACAAAUGUAAAAGAAUUAUAGGGACAGGAAGCUUGGAAGAGAGGGCUUCAUUCCAGAGUUUCAGCCAUGAAAGGUUCUCAGUGUUCUCAAUUGUCCUUAACAAUUAAGUCACCUUUGGAACAAAGUCAUCAUUGUAUGUACAGUUAUUUCCUGUGGCUUUUAUACCAUCAGGGAAUUUCCUGAUAAAUCUCUCUACUAAAAGGGCAGGCGAUGCCAAAACUGAAUACAUGUUCCUGGCACAAACACCAGGAAGUGCAUCAUGUGUCUGCUGGAAGAAGGGUAGGCCUGAAGAGAUGUAUGUGAAUACUUGUGGCACAAUAUGUUCUCCACAGACAUCUCUAGGAACAGCCAAGCCAGUGCUUUGGAAAUUAUACCUUAAGAAUGGCCUGGCUGGGAGGAGCUGGCACAGACUCUCAGGGUAUUGAGGCUCAAAAUGAAACCACUGGAUAAAGUUGAGAUGGAGUUGAUUCAGGUCAGAACCAGAAGAUUUCACAUUAGCUGGAUGACUUGCCACAACCAAGAUAGAACCAGCUGUUCUGCUUCUGACAAGUUUAGACCUGACUUGAGUCAGGAUACCUGUAGUCAUCUGAGGUAUGCCAGUCACAAAGUGGACCAGUUUGGAUGGGGUGGAAGGUGCUGAUGAAGUGAGAUAAAACCUCAGUGGCUUCUGCAACAGAAGUUAUUUCUUAUUAAGGCUCCGUGUUCAUUUUGGGUUGAAGGGAGCUGACUUCAGAGUCACCCUCGUUCUGGCACUUGACGUGGGGGAGAAUCCUCAUCUGGUACAUUGCUGGUCAUGCUGUAGGGGACAAGAGCUCUGGAGAUACACAUACUGGCAAUCAAAGACUUGGUACAGAUUCUGUAAUCAUUAAGCUCCUCCUCGGAUACAUGGAAGAACAAGAAUGAAGCAGAGGGACCAGAAUGCAGCGCACAUUUUCCAUCAGUGUCAUACCAGGGUGAUUGCACCACAGUAGAUAUUUCUAGUCAAAAAUCAUGCUUGGAGGCCCUUGCAUUCAUUUUGAGAAGUCCACUUGGGGUAAUGCAAAGCACAAUUUGUUGAUUAAAGAGUAAGAGAAUUGGAAUGACCUUAGAAAGAGAAGGUUUGGUGAGAGCUAGAUAAAGAAUCAGGGUUCCAUCUAAGUAGCCUUUCCAAAAGUGUGAUUGCCACAAGGAGAUUGAAGGGUGAAUCAUAUUUCCACAUCACAUAUUGAGUUAAAGAAGACAAGCCUUUCAUGUGGCUUUCCCUGAGACAGGGAGUCAUGUGACUGGGGUCAGACGAGCAGGCAGGAGAAUUUAACCUGUGGUUGAAGAAGUCAAAAUCUACCUACAGAGAUUGCUCAAAAGUCAAGUCUCAGAGUAGUUGGGCUGAUAGUGAAUGAACAGGUCUAGGAGACCUGAGCUCAGAGGUGCCUGCUGGAGAAAGAGGUGGAUUUGUUGCCAUGUACAUGGGCCAUAUGAAGGGACUUUUUGUUCUGGUGUAAGAAUAUUGUGGCAAUUUCAAAAACACAAGCCAGGUUAGGGAAAUAUGUUAGUAUUUUAGGGGAGAAGGUUGAUCUGGCAAGGCCCCCGCUGUUCUGGACACAGUAUCAGAGAGACUGCAGUGUCUGCCUUGGCUUGAGUUACCGCUGGAGUAGGGCGGACUUUAUUGGAGGACAGAAGACUCCUUGCUUGCAGUUUUACAGAGCUCAGCAGGGCAGGGUUGGCCUGUUUCAGCCUUUAUGGUUUCUGCCUGAGCAGUUCCUAAUAAGCAUGCCUUUCUGGUGACUGGGUUGCUUGUAGCACCCAUCGACUGGGCUGUAGUGCUCAGUAAGUACUGAGCGUAGAGCUCUGCAGUUCCUGGUCUGUCUUUUAUAUGUGUCCCCUCUCCUGAACCUGAAAUCGAUGGUCCCGUGAUCCACUGUCAGGGACCACUCCAGUACUCUUGAUAAAUAAGAGCUCAGUCAAAAUUGGUUUGUGAUGAAGCAUGAGACUUUGUACCUGUAGAAACCGAUAUAAAGGUGUACAACAUGUAUGAAAGCCACACUUCUAAGACGAAAACUGCUAUUUCCUGUCCUCAGUGUUAAGCUUUAACCAGGUACCUGGUACUUUGUACCUCUCUCCACCGAACCUUCAUAUUACCUGUGAGGCAGCCUUCUCCUCUCUCACUUUGUAAAUACAACCCAGAGACUGAAGGUAGAACUCAUGGCUCACUGGCUCAAGGCUUUUUUGAUUUACUUCUGCAGGCAAGUAGAAAUAGCACAGUUCUUCAAUCAGUGAAUGUUCGAAGGGAGCUCUUGGGUAUUUCUUAGCUGACAGGGGGAGUGCAGAAGAGGGAGCCAUUAGGAAACUCACUGGGAAGCAUGGAGGAGGACCAUACACACAUGAAAUGGUAAAGACACUCACAAAGAAAAGGUGUCAUGGCUGUGCCAUGUAAUAGACAUUAAUAAAUAAAACAUUUUGGAUUUCAACUAUGAAUAAUGAUUAUUCAGUAGGAAUUAUUUUUGAUUUUUAAUGGGGAAAAAUUUCAAAUCUAGGCUUAUAGCAAGACUUAAAACAAAUACAAAUCAGGCUUUUAGAAGCAUUUGUGCUCAAAGGAUAAGUGAUUUCAAAUGGUUUUUCUGGGCAUAAAAGAAUAUUUUUUGGUCACAAAAUGAAUGGGUGACUGCACUAAAUUGAGAUUCCUGAAUUUAUUAGCAGGGGUCUUCAUUUUUAUUUAAAUGACUUCUAGGGUUGCAAAUGUAAUAGAAUUUUCUAAUAUUCAGAAGUUCUCCUUUAGAGAUCACAGAAGGAACAAAAAUAAAACCCUUUGUAUAUUCAAGACUCCCCCGUCCUGCUGUCAGCACCAGUGAAGGUUGUUUAUGAGACACUGGAGAGCACAAAGGCUCCUCUGUCACCCAGCAGAGACCCUAUCUUAAGUGAUUACAUUACAUAGCGCUGCCCAGUCAUUAGUCUCUUGUUUAGUGAUAAUGUCCUUCAUUUUAAAUUCUUUGAUUGUAGUGAUUUGUGAAUAUGUCUUGAAUUCUAAAAUUAUUUGU